CCAGAGGGCCGGGCGGUCGCCGCGCAUCGUUUAUGCGGUGCGGGGAGGAAAGUCCGGGCUCCAAGGAGUAACGGUGCCGGGUAACGCCCGGCGGGGGCGACCCCAGGGACAGUGCCACAGAAAGCAGACCGCCCGGCGGACCUUCCAGAUUUUUCUGGCGGUUCCGGGCAAGGCCGAAAGGGUGCGGUAAGAGCGCACCGCGGGCCCGGCAACGGGAACGGCAUGGUAAACCCCACCGGGAGCAAGAUCGAAUAGGGACGGCGCAUGGGCUACUCCGCCCGGUCGUCCGGGUUGAUUGCUGGAGGCCGGGCGCGAGUCCGGUCCUAGAGGAAUGAUCGCCCAUCCAGCGCAAGCUGGUGGACAGAACCCGGCUUACAGGCCCUCUGGCUUU
Molecule: non-coding RNA, 391 nt
Organism: Sphingomonas sp. Root710
Lineage: Bacteria; Pseudomonadati; Pseudomonadota; Alphaproteobacteria; Sphingomonadales; Sphingomonadaceae
Rfam family: Bacterial RNase P class A
About the family: Ribonuclease P (RNase P) is a ubiquitous endoribonuclease, found in archaea, bacteria and eukarya as well as chloroplasts and mitochondria. Its best characterised activity is the generation of mature 5'-ends of tRNAs by cleaving the 5'-leader elements of precursor-tRNAs.
Source: Rfam